This 399-nucleotide ribosomal RNA is filed under the name uncultured bacterium. RNAcentral's name for it is "bacterial SSU rRNA". It matches the Rfam family "Bacterial small subunit ribosomal RNA", at positions 355 to 771 of the family's 1533-position model. The record is from RNAcentral.
UGGGGAAUAUUGGACAAUGGGCGAAAGCCUGAUCCAGCCAUGCCGCGUGGGUGAAGAAGGCCUUAGGGUUGUAAAUCCCUUUCAGCGGGGAAGAUAAUGACGGUACCCGCAGAAGAAGCCCCGGCUAACUCCGUGCCAGCAGCCGCGGUAAUACGGAGGGGGCUAGCGUUGUUCGGAAUUACUGGGCGUAAAGCGCGCGUAGGCGGACUUUCAAGUCAGGGGUGAAAUCCCGAGGCUCAACCUCGGAACUGCCUUUGAUACUGUAAGUCUUGAGUCCGAGAGAGGUGAGUGGAAUUCCUAGUGUAGAGGUGAAAUUCGUAGAUAUUAGGAAGAACACCAGUGGCGAAGGCGGCUCACUGGCUCGGUACUGACGCUGAGGCGCGAAAGCGUGGGGAGCAA